AACAAAUAUCGAAAAUGGUAUGUUUCUGACUGUUAAUCAGAGGGUCGCUGGUUCGAGCCCAGCC
RNAcentral lists this transfer RNA (64 nucleotides) under Mucilaginibacter sp. AK015. Its description in RNAcentral is "tRNA-Asn". Lineage: Bacteria; Pseudomonadati; Bacteroidota; Sphingobacteriia; Sphingobacteriales; Sphingobacteriaceae. The record is from RNAcentral.